AACUUGUGAAAACCUUCAUACAGCUGAGAACUGCGGCGCUUUGAAAGUCAGCUAGAUUUUUAGGAACUCUAUAUCUGCCAACAUAUAGGGACAAGCCAUCUUCACAACAGGAUCGCUUCAGCUUCCGCCUGCCUGGUGCAUUUCUUUGGCACACCAGGCAGCUCUGACCUGCACCAACAGCAGGUCUGAAAUUCAGUGCUGUGCAAACGUAACCUUUCAAGCAUGAAUUUCUGACAAAGGUGGUUGCCCAGAGCAAACGGUGAAGGCUUUUCUUGCAGAGAUGAAAAGGUGGAGAGAGGGAACCAGCUUGGCAGCUGGGGCAGUAAGCAAUCAGCGUUGUGUUUUGUUUUGUUUUAAAAGUGUUUGAAGUUUUUCCUGUGCAGCUGACUUGUGUUGCAGCAGAGAAGACCUCACCAUAGAGCAUUUCUCCCAUCAUCUGAAGACGGGCUGCUGGCAGCACUCCCAUCCACAAUGAUGUAGCACAGCUGGCUGCCUGGAUUUCUGUCUGAUAGCUGAAUAUUUUGUGUCGUGCCAUUCUUGGCUGCCCUUUUAUACUUUCUCCGUAUUACAGUGCACAAGAACCUCCAGCAGAUUUUCGGGUGAUGGGCAGGAAAUCAUUUACCACGUCCUUCCUCCGUGCUAUGGCAUUGUGUUCAAAAAGCUGUCUAAUUGCUAGAAUGUGAGGCUUUGUCUUUGCUUGCUUUAGCCAGAGCUCUGGUGCCUCGAUGCCAUCAGGCGUGGCUCCUCUCCAUCACAUACCCUGAGAAGAAAGGUAUUGCAUCAUUGCAUGCACUGCCUCUUGCUGGCUGCAGUUCUCCAUUCUCCAGCACAUGCAGAAAGUAGUAGCCCAGAGGCUGUGCUGACUCUCCCUCCAUCCUUAGUGCCACGAAACAAUUUUUGAAGGGAGUGAUCAUGCUGAGCCAGUGUGGCUGUGGAGUAAUGGAGGCCACACAAGCAUGAUUUUACUGGAGUCUGAAGGAAGCCAAGUUGUUUGGAAAGUCUCCACAUGAAGCUUGGAGCAAACACACUCACUGCAGAGGGAAGGUGUACCUCUCCCAGGGAGUGACAGGAGCUGAGGAAUGGAAAUCAUUUGUGACAUUUCCAAUCUACGUCCUCUCAGGAGCAUAAAGGUGGAUCACAGAGGAUGAAACCACUGGUCUUGCCAACAAUGUCCUGCUGAAGGAGGCUGUCACUGCAGCACGCCAAGGGGACAUGCAAGCAGCAUGGUGGCAGGCAGUGUGGGACAAGCAGCUCUAGAAACCUUUCCCAAAACUGCUGCGAUGGGAGGCUGGCUUCUCCCCAGAAGCCCAAGAGUGUAAAUCCCUUCCAGAGCCCUUGUUUAUUUUUAUGUAUGUAUUACUAGCCCUCCAGCCCUCUUUCAAAUCCUGCUAAGCUUUUGGUUGUGAUGACACUCAAGAGGAAUGGAUUCCACAGAGUAAUUGCAAGCCACACAAAAAUUUAUUUCCUUUUUAUCAGUUUUAAAAGCAUCUCUUUUCAAUGUAAUUGAACGUUCCCUUGUGUUUAUACUGUGAAAGUGAAACCAGCAGCAUGUGUUUGUGAGGGCAUUUGCUGGACAGAGGCUGAGCCUGGCUUCCCACAGCUCCAAGCCAGGGGAAAUCACACAGAGAAGAAUAAGCAAAUCAAUGGUUCUUUUAAUCAAACUCAACAGUAAUUUGCAACAAAAGGAAAAUCUUAUUCUUGAGCAUUUUCAUAGGAAAAUUAGUCCUUAUAACAGACAAAAGAUUUUUGGGUUGUUUUUUUUUUAUUUUUUCCCUAUUUGCCACCCAGGAAUGAUUUCAUACAUUUUCACCCUCACCCUGUCCCUUUGUUCCAACUGCGAAAUCUACGCACGAACACCUCUUACUAAAGGGGCUAAUUAAGCACAUGAUCCCUUUUCCCUUCUCAUAAAAGCUGCUGGAGAGCAACCCAAGCAAUAUCCUUAUUACAGCUGUGCUCGAAAAGCUCCUUCCUUGGCAAGGGAAGGGUACUUGUGAUGGCAAGACACAUUUCCUGAUGUGCUGGGGUCACAUCACGCGUUUACACACUGCUUUACCAGGGAAUGGUACCAGCAGCAUGGGCAGAAGUGUUUAUUUUUGGUGUCACUACAUUUCAGCAGAUGUUACAGGCUCAAUUAUCCCUGCACUUCAGCUGUAACAUUGCAUUUUCUCUAAGCUCCUUUUAUUUGGCUGAAACGCUUUCGUUGGAAGACACUGCCUUCUGUAAGCUGGAGCUUCAGCACGGUAGAGCUUGACAGCUACCUUUGGUAAGCAAAUUUGUCUUUUUGGAUUGACUCCACAGCCCAGCUACAAAUCACAUUUGACGUACAGCUGAACAAAACAAGUUUCUUAAUAUGGAGUAUAAUACACUUGCCCAUUCUAGACACUAUCCAAUGCUUUAAUGUGGGCUCAUUAGUCACAAAGAAUAAGUAAGUCAGCGUUCAGAUAAACUACACUUCUGCAAGGCAGGAAAAGUCUACAUUCAGCAUCCUCACGGGAAAGGUGAGCAUCUCUGUGUGUCGGGAAACAACGUGACACAUCCCACAGCUCCUGAGUCACAGCUGGGAAAUGCAGCACAGCAGUUAUUCCAUUCUGAAGUCGACUGUGAUGAGCUGUGUUGGAGUGGUGGGCAAUUUUAAGAAGUGGGGAUCACUUCUUCCAUUUUGACUUCCUGCCUUUGCCGAUUCUAUCAGCAUACCGUGGUCACCAUUCUUCCCUGCCUCGCUUUGUGAAAGAGAACUGUGCGUUUGUUAUAUGUAUAACAUAAACAUUUUAAACACUUUCUGGGGAGCACAUGUAAUAUAGUGUGAAUGAAGUUGAAAAUAACUGGGAAUGGCGAGCCAGAUAAAUAAUAUAGAAAUCAGCCAAAUGCUAAGUCAAGCAAGUAAAGCAAAUACUUCCAAAGAAUCAUUUUCUUUUAAAAUCUACCCGAACAUAGAAAUACACCUCUCUCACGUCCGCUGCUUUACGAACACACGUAUAUGUUGAUUGGUAGGAAAGCAGGAGCUGCCAUUUACCGCAUUGCGAUCUAUAGCAAGAUGUGGCAGCUUUCUGCUAUUCCUUAAGAGAAAUUCAGUAGAACGACAAGGAGAGGGGACACAUUAAAGUUUUAUUACUUUAGUGGCAGUAUUCUCCAGAGAAAACAAUAAUAAAUUCCCUACACUGUGACUGUCUAAAUAGAUUAUCCAACAAUUAUUAUUAAUUAUUAAUCAUCCAGUGACUCAGAAGCCACCCCGUGGCUGCCUACUGCAAGAAUCCUACAGCUUUUGCAACCUAAUGAUAUGAUUUUCCAAAUUACAGUGUUGCAGUGCUAAACCAUAUGAAAGGUUAAUGGGAGAGGGAGUGAUGAAGUGAUACGAAUGUCUAAGGUUGUACCUUGAUUUGCUGGCAGUAGGUUGUGAAAAAGGAACUCAAGCAAAUUCAGCAGAAAACUAGUUAACUUAAAGAUUAUUACGAGAACUGAAAUGGGAGUUGAAGGCAUUUUAAAGGGUCUGGAUUUGUGAAAAUACCUUAAAAUAGUCCAGUAGGCAAGAACAUCUUUUUCUCUUCUAUUACCAAAGAACACCCUUUCCAACCCAGCGUACAAGUGGCAAAGCUGAGUGCUGUAAUUCACAUUAUCUAUGAGCAUCCUUGGCUGCCCAUGUUUACCACACAGGAAAACAAGAUUGAUUUCUCGUUCUUAAGCACAUUUGUAACGUCUGUGCAAAUGAAUGUAGGACACAUCCCAACAAGAUCAAUAUUUAUGCAGCCUACUUUGGAAAGAACAAGAGAGUUGCUUCAGCACAGCAGGGGACCUACUCAUUGGCUUUCCUGCAGUUUCCUCUUUUCCUCCUUUUCCGCACAGUUUGCCUGCUGGGUGCUCACUGCUGAUUAAAAGUAGUGCUAACGAAGGGACGCCCCCAGGCCACCUGGAGCAGUGGGACCCCAUAUGGACACACAGCCAAAUACAGCGCCCAUAGCUCCUGUCCGCAGCUUCCUCCAGCCCCAUCCAUCUGCUUCUCUGUGGCUCACGGCUGCUCACACUUCAUGCCACUUGCAAAAGAGCAGCAAUCAAUUAUCCUAAUUAAAUGCAACAAUGGAAUAUUGAA
Long non-coding RNA from Meleagris gallopavo (turkey), 4084 nucleotides. RefSeq lists it as uncharacterized. The record is from RefSeq and is a predicted model, not a curated record. Lineage: Eukaryota; Metazoa; Chordata; Aves; Galliformes; Phasianidae.